RNAcentral lists this long non-coding RNA (5437 nucleotides) under Ictidomys tridecemlineatus (thirteen-lined ground squirrel). Its description in RNAcentral is "lncRNA (ENSSTOG00000033104.1)". Lineage: Eukaryota; Metazoa; Chordata; Mammalia; Rodentia; Sciuridae. The record is from RNAcentral.
UUCUUUGAUCCUCUUCCUGGCCUGCUCCUGCUUCUGCGUCCCAGGACAGAAUGACUGAGAACAUGAAGGAGUGCUUGGCCCAGACCAAGGCGGCUGUGGGGGACAUGGUGACCGUGGUGAAGACAGAGGUCUGCUCGCCCCUCCGCGACCAGGAGUAUGGCCAGCCCUGCUCUAGGAGACCCGAGCCUUCGGCCAUGGAAGUCGAGCCCAAGAAACUGAAGGGGAAGCGAGACCUCAUGGUGCCCAAGAGCUUCCAGCAAGUCGACUUCUGGUUCUGCGAGUCCUGCCAGGAGUACUUUGUGGACGAGUGCCCCAACCAUGGUCCCCCCGUAUUUGUGUCAGACACACCGGUGCCCGUGGGCAUCCCGGACCGGGCUGCCCUCACCAUCCCGCAGGGCAUGGAGGUGGUCAAGGAAGCCAGCGGAGAGAGCGACGUGCGGUGCAUUAGUGAGGUCAUACCCAAGGGCCACAUCUUUGGCCCCUAUGAGGGGCAGAUCUCCACUCAGGACAAAUCGGCGGGCUUCUUCUCAUGGCUGAUUGUGGACAAGAACAGCCGCUACAAGUCCAUAGAUGGGUCGGACGAGACCAAGGCCAACUGGAUGAGGUACGUGGUCAUCUCCCGGGAGGAGAGGGAGCGGAACCUGCUGGCCUUCCAGCACGGCGAGCGCAUCUACUUCCGCGCCUGCAGGGACAUCCGGCCCGGGGAGCGGCUGCGGGUCUGGUACAGCCAGGACUACAUGAGGCGCCUGCACAGCAUGUCCCAGGAGACCAUCCACCGCAACCUGGCCAGAGGAGAGAAGAGGUUGCAGAGGGAGAAGUGUGAGCAGGCUCUGGACACCCCAGAAGACCUGAGGGGCGCUAUUCAGCUCCCCGUGUUGAGACAGGGCAAAAGUCCCUACAAGCGUGGCUUGGAUGAGGGGGACGUGCACCCCCAGGCCAAGAAGAAGAAGAUCGACCUCAUUUUUAAGGACGUGCUGGAGGCGUCUCUGGAGUCCGCCAAGGUGGAGGCCCACCAGCUGGCACUGAGCACCUCGCUGGUCAUCAGGAAAGUCCCCAAGUACCAGGACGAUGCCUAUGGCCGGUGUGCCACAGCCAUGACCCACAGCAUGCAGGGCGUCAGCCGGGCCCAGGGGGACGGGGACUGGAAGACCCCCUCGGGGGUGGCCAAGGAGCCGGGCCCCCUGGAGGAUGAGGAAGAGGAGCCUUCGUCGUUCAAGGCCGACAGCCCGGCCGAGGCCUCCCUGGCGUCCGAUGCCCACGAGCUGCCCACCACCUCCUUCUGCCCCAACUGUAUCCGCCUCAAGAAGAAGGUGCGGGAGCUUCAGGCCGAGCUGGACCUGCUCAAGUCUGGGAAGCUCCCAGAGCCCCCCGUGUUACCGCCCCAGGCGCUGGAGCUCCCAGAGUUCUCGGACCCCACAGCCUCCGAGAGCAUGGUCUCGGGCCCCGCCAUCAUGGAGGACGAUGACCAGGAGGUCGACUCGGCCGAUGAAUCCGUCUCCAACGAUAUGAUGACCACGACCGACGAGCCGUCCAAGAUGUCCUCCGCCACCGGACGCCGGAUCCGGCGCUUCAAGCAGGAGUGGCUGAAGAAGUUCUGGUUCCUGCGGUACUCGCCGACCCUCAAUGAGAUGUGGUGCCACGUGUGCCGCCAGUACACGGUGCAGUCCUCCCGCACCUCGGCCUUCAUCAUCGGCUCCAAGCAGUUCAAGAUCCACACCAUCAAGCUGCACAGCCAGAGCAACCUGCACAAGAAGUGCCUGCAGCUCUACAAGCUCCGCAUGCACCCCGAGAAGACGGAGGAGAUGUGCCGCAGCAUGACCCUGCUCUUCAACACCGCCUACCACCUGGCCCUCGAGGGCAGGCCCUACCUGGACUUCCGGCCGCUGGCCGAGCUGCUGAGGAAGUGCGAGCUCAAGGUGGUGGACCAGUACAUGAACGAGGGCGACUGCCAGGUGCUCGUCCACCACAUCGCCCGGGCGCUGCGGGAGGACCUGGUGGAGCGCAUCCGCCAGUCCCCGUGCCUCAGCAUCAUCUUGGACGGGCAGAGCGACGACCUGCUGGCCGACACGGUGGCCGUGUACGUCCAGUACACCAGCAGCGACGGGCCCCCGGCCACGGAGUUCCUGUCCCUGCAGGAGCUGGGCUUCUCCAGCACAGAGAGCUACCUCCAGGCGCUGGACCGGGCCUUCACCACCCUGGGCAUCCGGCUGCAGGACGAGAAGCCCACGGUGGGCUUGGGCGUGGACGGGGCCAACAUCACGGCCAGCCUGCGGGCCAGCAUGUUCAUGACCAUCCGCAAGACGCUGCCCUGGCUGCUGUGCCUGCCCUUCAUGGUGCACCGGCCCCACCUGGAGAUCCUGGACGCCAUCAGCGGGAAGGAGCUGCCCUGCCUGGAGGAGCUGGAGAACAACCUGAAGCAGCUGCUGAGCUUCUACCGCUACUCGCCCCGGCUCCUGGGCGAGCUGCGCUGCACGGCCGCCACCCUCUGCGAGGAGACCGAGUUCCUGGGGGACAUCCGGGCCGUGCGCUGGGUCAUCGGGGAGCAGAACGUCCUCAACGCCCUCAUCAAGGACUACCUGGAGGUGGUGGCCCACCUCAAGGACGUCAGCAGCCAGACGCAGCGGGCGGACGCCUCGGCCAUCGCCCUGGCCCUGCUGCAGUUCCUCAUGGACUAUCAGUCGGUCAAGCUCAUCUACUUCCUGCUGGACGUGAUCGCCGUCCUCUCGCGCCUGGCCUACGUCUUCCAGGGCGAGUACCUGCUGGUGUCCCAGGUGGACGACAAGAUCGAGGAGGCCAUCCAGGAGGUCAGCCGGCUGGCCGACUGCCCGGGGGAGUACCUCCAGGAGUUCGAGGAGAACUUCCGGGAGAGCUUCAACGGGGUUGCCGUGAAGAACCUCAGGGUGGCCGAGGCCAAGUUCCAGUCCAUCAGGGAGAAGAUCUGCCAGAAGACCCAGGUCAUCCUGGCCCAGAGGUUCGACUCCCGCAGCCGGAUCUUCGUGAAGGCCUGCCAGGUGUUCGACCUGGCCGCCUGGCCCAGGAGCAGCGAGGAGCUCGUGAGCUACGGCAAGGAGGACAUGGUGCAGAUACUCGACCACCUGGAGGCCAUCCCCACCUUCUCCCGGGACCUCGGCCAGGAGGGGCUGGACCCGCGGGGCAGCCUGCUGACGGAGUGGCGGGAGCUCAAGGCCGAUUACUAUACCAAAAACGGCUUCAAAGACCUCAUCAGCCACGUCUGCAAGUACAAGCAGAGGUUCCCGCUCUUGAACAAGAUCAUCCAGGUCCUGAAGGUCCUCCCCACGUCCACCGCCUGCUGCGAGAAGGGCCGCAGCGCCCUCCAGAGGGUCCGCAAGAACCACCGCUCCCGCCUGACCCUGGAGCAGCUGAGCGACCUGCUGACCGUCGCGGUCAACGGACCGCCCAUCGCCAACUUCGAUGCCAAGCGAGCCCUGGACAGCUGGUUCGAGGAGAAGUCGGGCAACAGCUACGCACUGUCGGCCGAGGUCCUCAGCAGGAUGUCGGCCCUGGAGCAGAAGCCGGCGCUGCAGGCCGUGGACCACGGGUCCGAGUUCUACCCGGACAUGUAGGGAGCCAGCGGCAGAGUCCACGGAGCUGUUGAAUAUUUUUUUAAUCUAUACUCAUAAGCUUUGAUAUAUUAUAUAAAUCUAUAUUAUAUUAUAUUAUAUAUAUAUAUAUAUAUAAAACCCACACUGAAGAUUUUUAAAAAACCAAGGUGACACGUCCACCAGAAGCUACUAGGAGCUUUCAGAAAGGCACGACGUCGGACAGCGACGCCUGUCUACGACACUUGGCAGCUUGAACCUACGUGGCGACCCGUUUCCACUCACAGAAGCAUGUGCUGGGCCCCGCGUGUCCCCACCCGACAGCCACCGACAGCAUGAGCUAAGUGACGGGUCUCUGUCACGGCCUCUAGGUAGCUCGCUCUGUUCCUGUCGCCACUGGGGGGUGGAGGGAGGUGGGUUGGGCUUGGGGUUUAUGUUCUCGCCAUUUUUUCUGUUGGGUUUCAUGGUGGGGUUUGGGGGGUGGCUCUUGGCUUCUUCGUUGACAUUCUGGUCCCCGACUCCCACCUUGUGGGUUGGGGUGCCCUCCUCCCCCACCUGACGUCAGUGUGACGGAUUUGUUCUACUCAUUCCCUUCGCUGUCCCACAAACACAGGUGUCGGUGGUACUGUGAACCCUCCCCGCCCCCACCCGUCACCUCCCGUCCCUGGUGGUCUGUUCGCUCCCUCCAGGCCCCUGGAUUGAAAGACAGAACCCGUUCUCUGGAAGGCAGAAGGGCCUUAGAGCCGAGCUUGCAAUCCAGGGGAAGGGGAGGGCGGCUUUGGGCAUCCCUGUUGUCCAUGGUGGAGGAUCAGAUGGCAGAAUCCCACGCAGACCCAGGGCCGCUGGGAGACGAAAAGCCAGCAAAUCCAGACCCCCAACGGGGCGGCGAUUUUUGGCUAAAAACAAGUAAAAUGAAAAGUAUCUAUGGGAUCGACAUGGAUUAUUUAUACUCUGUCUUUAUAAUCAUAUACUGUUGGGGGGUAUUUUUGUUUUCCUUUCAUAAUCAAGCACCUGCAAGGUAGCUACGGAGCAGGAGCUGUCGAUGCAAGUUGUGCCCUGGGUUACGUGUCACUCUAAGAGCGUCCCCAGGGAGGUGGUCCGGGCUGGCGCCACGCUCCGCAGCCCAGCAGGAAGGUCCUGGGAGACUGGGCAGUGCUUCUAGGCCUGUGAGCUUCCUUUUUGUGAACAGGGUAGAGAUGUCCCAAAGAAAAGGAGCAAACAGGAAGCGGGACCAGAUUCUCAAGGCAUCAACUUGGACACACACACACACACACACACACACACACACACACCACAACCACAAUAUAAGCUUUAGAAAAGGCCACUUGCCCGCUCCCUGGGGCAGGCAGUGGUGUAGGCGAGGAGUCUGACCCGCGCUCCUCCCGUCAUUUCACCACAGUAUACCUCGCAGGGGAGUCUCCAGAUAUGUGCGUGAGCUGUUAAAGCUUCUCUUCACGUUCCCACACCUGAUUUGUGCGUAUUUUAUAUGCACAGAUCCUAAGGUGGACGCAGGUCGUAUUGGGGGAGGGACGGGGAUCUGGAUCCCGCGUCCCCGCUCGGCUGUCCCUCCCCAUUAGUGGAGGGUGUUGAGAUCUGGCCACAGGCGAGGCCCCCCGAACCUUGGCCUUUGUGGCUCAGACACUGUGCAGCUGCGGUGGCUCCCUUACUCUUGGUUUAUCUUGUGUCUGCGGCCUGGUGCCACCGUGAGAACCAGAGUGGAAAGGUCAUCAACACUGAACGUCACCGCCCCUUCCUGGCCCCGCCGGUCCUGCCCCUCACAGAUCCUUCCUCUCACCCCCAUGGUCUUGGUGCUAAGAUAACUUUAGAAUCAUUGCUGCUAGUCGAUAGCUUUUCAUUAUAAAUAUAUAUAUUAUAUU